ACUCCUGCGGGAGGCAGCAGUGGGGAAUUUUGGACAAUGGGCGAAAGCCUGAUCCAGCAAUGCCGCGUGAGUGAAGAAGGCCUUCGGGUUGUAAAGCUCUUUUGUCAGGGAAGAAACGGUGAAAGCUAAUAUCUUUUGCUAAUGACGGUACCUGAAGAAUAAGCACCGGCUAACUACGUGCCAGCAGCCGCGGUAAUACGUAGGGUGCAAGCGUUAAUCGGAAUUACUGGGCGUAAAGCGUGCGCAGGCGGUUUUGUAAGUCUGAUGUGAAAUCCCCGGGCUCAACCUGGGAAUUGCAUUGGAGACUGCAAGGCUAGAAUCUGGCAGAGGGGGGUAGAAUUCCACGUGUAGCAGUGAAAUGCGUAGAUAUGUGGAGGAACACCGAUGGCGAAGGCAGCCCCCUGGGUCAAGGUUGACGCUCAUGCACGAAAGCGUGGGGAGCAAACAGGAUUAGAUACCCCGGUAGUCCCA
This 471-nucleotide ribosomal RNA is filed under the name uncultured organism. Its description in RNAcentral is "partial 16S ribosomal RNA". It matches the Rfam family "Bacterial small subunit ribosomal RNA", at positions 335 to 797 of the family's 1533-position model. The record is from RNAcentral.